Molecule: long non-coding RNA, 1683 nt
Filed under: Homo sapiens (human)
Lineage: Eukaryota; Metazoa; Chordata; Mammalia; Primates; Hominidae
Description: long intergenic non-protein coding RNA 1911
Source: RNAcentral
AUAGGCAGCUUUAGCCAACCAGGCAGCUGACUGCAGAUACAGGCCUGCAUCCAGAUGAGUCCAGAAAAGCAACCUAGACACUACUGGCAAAGACAUUGAAAAGAAUCACACUGCUAAACCAGUAGCAGCUUUUAUCUUCUUCUCAGAUUGUAUACAUGCAGGAUAAAAGUGUUUCUAACACAUAGACUUCUAUAUUCCAGCAUAAAGAUGUAUUAGGCGCAUUUAUACUUUUACAUCGAAGCCUGUUUCAACAUGAACGGAGCCCAGGGAAGUUGGUGACUUAAUCCUCGUUAUACCCUGAUUUUGGACAAAUUUUACAAGAAGAAUAGGACUUCUACUUCUCUAUGUCUACAUGCACCUGGAACAGUGCUAGGUCUAUGCUUACAAAUUGAUUGGUUCAGGUCACCGCCAUGAGCCUCAGGACAGAAAAUUGCCGGAUAUGAGAGAGAGAGAGAGAUUUGACUGGGCUAAGAAAGAAAUGAACACGAUUUAGAGAUGGAAAUGGUGACAUAUGGGCCUUUGAAGCCUCCCAUGUUCCAGAGAAGGUGAGGUUUCACCAUGUUAGUCAGGAUGGUCUCGAUCUCCUGACCUCGUGACCUGCCCAGCUCGGCCUCCCAAAGUGCUGGGAUUACAGGCAUGAGCCAUUGCGCCUAACCUCAGAAACCAUUUUUAUAACCUCAAUACCUAAUAGAAACUGGCACAUGGCCCCUGUGAGCUGUGACUGCAAGAGUCAGCACCUAAAUUAGAUCAACACUACAACAUCAAAAAGCCAGCUUGAUGGCACAGCGGGGAGUGAGGAAGACUCGGUGGACAAAUCUGACUGGAAAACAAGUAGGCGUUGCAGAUGGCUGGAGUGCAGUGGCACGACCUUGGCUCACUGCAACCUGUGCCUCCCGGGUUCAAGCAAUUCACCUGUCUCAGCCUCCUGAGUAGCUGGGACUACAGAUAUUAAUCAUCUUUAGGAUUAGAACCUAAAGCGUAAGUCUAAUUGUGCCCAGAAUUGCUUCCUUCCAGUGGGUUCCUGGUCUCGUUGACUUCAAGAAUGAAGCUGCAGACCCUCACAGUGAGUGUUAACAGCUCUUAAAGAUGGUGUAUCCUGAGUUUGUUCCUUCCAGGUGUUCAGAUGUGCCUGGAGUUUCUUCCUUCUGGUGGGUUCGUGUUCUUGCUUACUUCAGGAGUGAAGCCACAGACCCCCGUGAUAUUACUCUAGGAAAAUUUACAACCUGAAGCAAGGAGAAAUAAGAUUUCUCUUCUAAAUGCUGAAUUUGAAAGGCUUCAUUGGUAUUGCAUUGGAUCCAUAAAUUAGUUGGAAAAAACUGCCACCUUUAACAGUUCUGAGCCUUCCAAUCCAUGAGCAUGGCUGGAGUGCAGUGGCAGGAUCUCGGCUCACUGUGACCUCCGCCUCCCAGGUUCAAGAUAUUCUCCUGCCUCAGCCUCCUGAGUUGCUGGGAAUACAGGCACACACCAUCACACCCGGCUAAUUUUUUGUAUUUUUGUAGAGACGGGGUUUCGCCAUGUUGGCCAGGUUGGUCUCGAACUUCUGACCUCAGGUGAUCUGCCUGCCUUGGCCUCCCAAGGUUUUGAGAUUACAGAAGUAAGCCACCGCUCCUGGUGUGAAUGAAAACUUAUCUCACUAUCUCAAGUGAAUAAAACCAACUUUUGAUUAAUGACAACUUUAAAUAA